This 305-nucleotide ribosomal RNA is filed under the name Veillonella dispar. Its description in RNAcentral is "bacterial SSU rRNA". It matches the Rfam family "Bacterial small subunit ribosomal RNA", at positions 202 to 501 of the family's 1533-position model. Lineage: Bacteria; Bacillati; Bacillota; Negativicutes; Veillonellales; Veillonellaceae. The record is from RNAcentral.
AUGUAAGCUAUCACUGAAGGAGGGGAUUGCGUCUGAUUAGCUAGUUGGAGGGGUAACGGCCCACCAAGGCGAUGAUCAGUAGCCGGUCUGAGAGGAUGAACGGCCACAUUGGGACUGAGACACGGCCCAGACUCCUACGGGAGGCAGCAGUGGGGAAUCUUCCGCAAUGGACGAAAGUCUGACGGAGCAACGCCGCGUGAGUGAUGACGGCCUUCGGGUUGUAAAGCUCUGUUAAUCGGGACGAAAGGCCUUCUUGCGAAUAGUUAGAAGGAUUGACGGUACCGGAAUAGAAAGCCACGGCUAAU